AUGUCCGGGACCAGCGGUGGUGGCAGCGCCGCCGCCGGGAAAUCGGAUCUUGGUGAUUUCAUGGAGCAGCUUAACUUAGAGGACGAAGAGUUUGACGAUCUGGUGAUCGAGGAGAAUGAUCCGGUGAUCAAUGAAGGUGUCCGCUAGUUAGCCCUAGCUAGGGUUCACACGGAUAAGAUUUUCAGCCCGACUGCGUUCUACAGAGAGAUGCGUGCAGCUUGGAAUCCGGCGAAGCAGGUGAGGUUCAGGCCCGUCGGACCGAAUUUGUUCGUCGUUCAGGCGGACUGCCUUGGAGACUGGGAGCAUAUGGUGGAACAUGGUCCAUGGCUCUUCAGGAACUGGGUAGUACUCGUGUGCCCAUAUGAUGGGUUCACUAAGGCGGAGGAGGUCCCCAUGUUAUUCAUGCCAAUCUGGCUUCAAAUUCAGAAGUUGCCUGAUGGGUUCUGUAAAAACAAUACUGUGGAAUCGUUGUUGAGAAACUCCGGGGAGAUCUUGGAGAUGAGGUUGAACGGAAAUACCCGGGGUUAUGUGAGGGUUAGGGUUCGCCACGACAUUCGUCGACCGGUUACAAAGUUUGUCAGUAUUGUUAGAGGAGAAGCAAGACAUGUGCACUUUGUUCGUUAUGAGAAGCUUGACCACUUUUGUAGCGUUUGUGGCUUAAUUGGGCAUGAUUUCGAAGAGUGCGGCACCAGGGUUCAUGAUGUGAAGGACAUGAAGUUUGGGAACUGGUUGUAUGCAGAUGGACCGAAUAGAGCAGGAACUAAUGAGUUUGAACGGAGUAAUGAUAAGCAGAAGCAGCAGCAGCGCACCCCAACAAAAGAAAAAGCAGUGAAGAAAGCUACAGACCUGGACCUGGUCGACACGGCAUCUAGCCCGUCGAAGACUGGCGCCAGGGACAUGCAGGUUGACCCCCCCAGCUCGGAAGAGGUUGGCCAUGGACAGUGCGGGGAAGGAGAUACCUAUCGAACCUGCUGCUACACUAGCUCUAACUCAAGGACUGGGUGA
RNAcentral lists this ribosomal RNA (1005 nucleotides) under Triticum aestivum (bread wheat). RNAcentral's name for it is "partial small subunit ribosomal RNA". The record is from RNAcentral. Lineage: Eukaryota; Viridiplantae; Streptophyta; Magnoliopsida; Poales; Poaceae.